This 443-nucleotide ribosomal RNA is filed under the name uncultured bacterium. Its description in RNAcentral is "partial 16S ribosomal RNA". It matches the Rfam family "Bacterial small subunit ribosomal RNA", at positions 338 to 795 of the family's 1533-position model. The record is from RNAcentral.
CCUACGGGUGGCAGCAGUGGGGAAUAUUGGGCAAUGGGCGCAAGCCUGACCCAGCAACGCCGCGUGAAGGAAGAAGGCUUUCGGGUUGUAAACUUCUUUUGUCAGGGACGAAGCAAGUGACGGUACCUGACGAAUAAGCCACGGCUAACUACGUGCCAGCAGCCGCGGUAAUACGUGGGUCGCACGUGUUAUCCGGUUUUAUUGGGUGUAAAGGGCGUGUAGGCGGGAAUGCAAGUCAGAUGUGAAAACUAUGGGCUCAACCCAUAGCCUGCAUUUGACACUGUAGUUCUUGAGUGCUGGAGAGGCAAUCGGAAUGCCGGGUGUAGCGGUGAAAUGCGUAGAUAUACGGAGGAACACCAGUGGCGAAGGCGGAUUGCUGGACAGUAACUGACGCUGAGGCGCGAAAGCGUGGGGAGCAAACAGGAUUAGAUACCCGAGUAGUC